CCCUUAGAUGUCCUGGGCCGCACGCGUGCUACACUGACGCCUACAGCGAGUACUUCCCAGCCCCGAGAGGUGGCUGGUAACCAGCAAUAGGCGUCGUGAUGGGGAUAGAUCUUUGGAAUUAUGGAUCUUGAACGAGGAAUGCCUAGUAAGCGCAGGUCAUUAGCCUGCGCUGAUUAAGUCCCUGCCCUUUGUACACACCGCCCGUCGCUCCUACCGAUUUCGAGUGGUCCGGUGAAUCUUUCGGACUGCGCGCGGCCUCGUGCCGUGUCGCGGAAAGUCAGGUAAACCUUAUCACUUAGAGGAAGGAGAAGUCGUAACA
This 319-nucleotide ribosomal RNA is filed under the name uncultured eukaryote. RNAcentral's name for it is "partial 18S ribosomal RNA". It matches the Rfam family "Eukaryotic small subunit ribosomal RNA", at positions 1470 to 1796 of the family's 1831-position model. The record is from RNAcentral.